UACCCCGGGAUAACAGGCUGAUCUUCCCCCAAGAGUCCAUAUCGACGGGAUGGUUGGCACCUCGAUGUCGGCUCGUCGCAUCCUGGGGCUGGAGUAGGUCCAAGGGUUGGGCUGUUCGCCCAUUAAAGCGGCACGCGAGCUGGGUUUAGAACGUCGUGAGACAGUUCGGUCUCUAUCCGCCGCGCGCGUUAGAAACUUGAGGAAGGCUGUCCCUAGUACGAGAGGACCGGGACGGACGAACCUCUGGUGUGCCAGUUGUUCCGCCAGGAGCACUGCUGGUUAGCUACGUUCGGAAGGGAUAACCGCUGAAAGCAUCUAAGCGGGAAGCCUGUUCCAAGAUGAGGUUUCUCACCCCCUCGAGGGGUAAGGCCCCGGCAGACCACCGGGUUGAUAGGCCAGAACUGGAAGCACAGUAAUGUGUGGAGGUGACUGGUACUAAUAGGCCGAGGACUUACCACAA
RNAcentral lists this ribosomal RNA (460 nucleotides) under Rhodococcus (subgen. Prescottella) equi. RNAcentral describes it as "Prescottella equi partial 23S ribosomal RNA". It matches the Rfam family "Bacterial large subunit ribosomal RNA", at positions 2464 to 2925 of the family's 2925-position model. The record is from RNAcentral. Lineage: Bacteria; Bacillati; Actinomycetota; Actinomycetes; Mycobacteriales; Nocardiaceae.